UAAGGAUAGAAAGAACUCUGGAGGUUCCAAUAAACCCCGCUGAUCAUGGUUUGUAUAAAGGAUAGAAAGAACUCUGGAGGUUCCAAUAAACCCCGCUGAUCAUGGUUUGUAUAAAGGAUAGAAAGAACUCUGGAGGUUCCAAUAAACCCUGCUGAUCAUGGUUUGUAUAAAGGAUAGAAAGAACUCUGGAGGUUCCAAUAAACCCCGCUGAUCAUGGUUUGUAUAAAGGAUAGAAAGAACUCUGGAGGUUCCAAUAAAUGGAUGGAUGGAUUAUUGUAGUUCCAUCAGAGUGACAGGGGGCCUCAAGUGUUGCAGGUCGGCAGAGAUCUCAGAUCUAGACAAAUGACCAUAGAAAUCCCAGAGUUUUGAAUGGAUUAAUAACGGGUCACUGUAUGGUACCAUCCAUUGAUUUAAUGGAUGUUAUAUUUGAAAUGUUUUUUUUUUUUUGUGUCGGCUAAAUAGAUAAUUUAUUGAGCUAAUAAUAGAUUGGCUUGGAUGAGCCCUAUGAAAAUGUUAAAAAGAAACAUGCUAUAUGAAUGAGAGUUUCUGCCCGGGCAGAAUGACAUGAUAAAUUAAUUUAAUUUUCUGAUAAUCUGCCGAUCAAGGAUAGCUUGUGGAGAGACGUUUCAAGUUGUCAUAAUUUGUCUUCUUAUUCUGUAGUGUUGUGUUGGUUGAUUGGUUUAAAUUGGAAGACAACGAGGUAGAGUGUGGCCUAAUAAAGCCUUUGACCUUUGUCCCACAGUCCUCCAGAAUCAUCAUCAGUGUUACCACAGUCCUCCAUCAACACAACGCCAUAGAUAACAUUACACAGGUGCACCUUGUGUUGGGGACAAUAAAAGGCCACUCUAAAAUGCCACAGAUGUCUCAAUGCCACAGAGCGCAAUUGGCAUGCUGACUGCAGAAAUAUCGACCAGCUGUUGCCAGAUAAUUUAAUGUUAAUUUCUCUAUCAUAAGCCGCCUCCAACAUCGUUUUAGACAAUUUGGCAGUACAUCCAAUCUGCCUCACAACCGCAUACCAUGUGUAACCAACAAGCCCAAGACCUCCACAUCUGGCUUAAUCACCUGCGGCCUGAGACGAACCACCCAGACAAGCUGAUGAAACUGUGGGUUUGCACAACUGAAGAAUUUCGGUAAAAACUGUCACAAAACCUUCCCAGGGAAGCUCAUCUGCGUGCUAAUGCUCACCUUCGAUGGCCCCUGGCAUGCUGGAGAAGUGUGAUCCGGGCAGAUGGCAGACAGCGUUGUAUGGCGUUGUGUGGGUGCGCGGUUUGCUGAUAUCAAUGUUGUGAACAAUGUGCACCAUGGUGGCGGUGGGGUUAUGUUAUGGGCAGGCAUAAGCUACACACGACAUGGGAUGCUCUGGAUCUUGUGAAAUCCACACAUUAGGGUCUGCAUUUAUUUGACAAGAUAAAAUGCUAUUUCAAAGUAAACUAAUUGGACAUUCAACAAGCACAGCACUUACACAAAUGACUGAUGACUGGCUGAGAGAAGCUGAUGAUAAAAAUAUUGUGGGGGAUGUUUUUCUAGACUUCAAUGUGGCUUUUGACAUUAUCGACCAUAGUCUGCUGCUGGAAAAACAUAUGUGUUAUGGCUUUACACCCCUUGCUAUAUUGUGGAUAAAGAGUUACCUGUCUAACAGAACACAGAGGGUGUUCUUUAAUGGAAGCCUCUCCAACAUAAUCCAGGUAGAAUCAGGAAUUCCCCAGGGUAGCUGUCUAGGCCCCUCACUUUUUUUAAACCCUUACUAAUGACAUGCCACUGGCUUUGAGUAAAGCCAGUGUGUCUAUGUAGGUGGAUGACUCAACACUAUACACGUCAGCCACUACAGCGACUGAAAUGACUGCAACACUUAAAUAUCCGCAGUUAGUUUCAGAAUGGGUGGCAAGGAAUAAGUUAGUUCUAAAUAUUUCAAAAACUAAAAGCAUGGUAUUUGGGACAAAUCAUUCACUAAACCCUAAGCCUCAACUAAAUAUUUUAAUAAAUAAUGUGAAAAUUGAGCAGGUUGAGGUGACUAAACUUGUAAACUGUCAUGGUCAAACCAUAUUGAUGCAGUAGUAGCUAAGAUGGGGAGAAGUCUGUCUAUAAUAAAGCGAUGCUCUACCUUCUUAACAACACUAUCAACAAGGCAGGUCCUACAGGCUCUAGUUUCUACCUUCUUAACAACACUAUCAACAAGGCAGGUCCUACAGGCCCUAGUUUCUACCUUCUUAACAGCACUACCAACAAGGCAGGUCCUACAGGCCCUAGUUUCUACCUUCUUAACAGCACUAUCAACAAGGCAGGUCCUACAGGCCCUAGUUUCUACCUUCUUAACAGCACUACCAACAAGGCAGGUCCUACAGGCCCUCGUUUCUACCUUCUUAACAACACUAUCAACAAGGCAGGUCCUACAGGCUCUAGUUUCUACCUUCUUAACAACACUAUCAACAAGGCAGGUCCUACAGGCCCUAGUUUCUACCUUCUUAACAGCACUACCAACAAGGCAGGUCCUACAGGCCCUAGUUUCUACCUUCUUAACAGCACUAUCAACAAGGCAGGUCCUACAGGCCCUAGUUUCUACCUUCUUAACAGCACUACCAACAAGGCAGGUCCUACAGGCCCUCGUUUCUACCUUCUUAACAACACUAUCAACAAGGCAGGUCCUACAGGCCCUAGUUUCUACCUUCUUAACAACACUAUCAACAAGGCAGGUCCUACAGGCCCUAGUUUCUACCUUCUUAACAACACUAUCAACAAGGCAGGUCCUACAGGCCCUAGUUUGUCACACCUGGACUACUGUUCAGUUGUGUGGUAAGGUGCCACAAAGAGGGACUAAUAUUAUAUUGUACUAUAUAUUAUAAUAUUAGACUAAUACUAUACGGCUAAAUGACUGUCAAAGGUAUUGAUAUAAUUGUACUAAGUAACUAAUGAGAUCAUAGAUUGUUAAUUUUGGGCAGAGCUGCCUGAGGUGCCCCACCUGGAAAUAAACUAACUAGGGGAAACACUGGCUAGAUAGUACGACAUAAAUUAGGUUUUACGAUAAAAUGAUAGAUAAGAACGAAAAAGGUUUGUUUACUAACAUGGACACAGUAACCUCGAAACAAAUCUAUGGGAAACACUAGCUAGUACAGUAUGGAAAAGAGGUUUUAACUAGAGCAAACACUAGCUAGUACAGUAUGGAAAAGAGGUUUUAACUAGAGCAAACACUAGCUAGUACAGUAUGGAAAAGAGGUUUUAACUAGAGCAAACACUAGCUAGUACAGUAUGGAAAAGAGGUUUUAACUAGAGCAAACACUAGCUAGUACAGUAUGGAAAAGAGGUUUUAACUAGAGCAAACACUAGCUAGUACAGUAUGGAAAAGAGGUUUUAACUAGAGCAAACACUAGCUAGUACAGUAUGGAAAAGAGGUUUUAACUAGAGCAAACACUAGCUAGUACAGUAUGGAAAAGAGGUUUUAACUAGAGCAAACACUAGCUAGUACAGUAUGGAAAAGAGGUUUUAACUAGAGCAAACACUAGCUAGUACAGUAUGGAAAAGAGGUUUUAACUAGAGCAAACACUAGCUAGUACAGUAUGGAAAAGAGGUUUUAACUAGAGCAAACACUAGCUAGUACAGUAUGGAAAAGAGGUUUUAACUAGAGCAAACACUAGCUAGUACAGUAUGGAAAAGAGGUUUUAACUAGAGCAAACACUAGCUAGUACAGUAUGGAAAAGAGGUUUUAACUAGAGCAAACACUAGCUAGUACAGUAUGGAAAAGAGGUUUUAACUAGAGCAAACACUAGCUAGUACAGUAUGGAAAAGAGGUUUUAACUAGAGCAAACACUAGCUAGUACAGUAUGGAAAAGAGGUUUUAACUAGAGCAAACACUAGCUAGUACAGUAUGGAAA
This is a long non-coding RNA of Oncorhynchus keta (chum salmon), 3866 nucleotides long. RefSeq lists it as uncharacterized. The transcript is spliced from 6 exons. NCBI's taxonomy places the organism in Eukaryota, Metazoa, Chordata, Actinopteri, Salmoniformes, Salmonidae. The record is from RefSeq and is a predicted model, not a curated record.